Ornithorhynchus anatinus (platypus) is the source of this 140-nucleotide small nucleolar RNA. The record is from RefSeq and is a predicted model, not a curated record. Lineage: Eukaryota; Metazoa; Chordata; Mammalia; Monotremata; Ornithorhynchidae.
CCCCUCUCAGGGUCACACCUGGAGAGUUUCCAGUAUUCUCCCAGUCUUGACUACGGGAGGGAAAGUCAGGCAGAGGCAUAUCCAUUCCAUUCCUAGCUUGGACAGUGGCUAUGAGUGGAAGGCAAUCCUCUGCAAGUCAA